CCACUAGAGUUAUUUCUCACUGUUUUUAAGUGUUUUUAGUGUGUUUUAGUGUGUUUUGAAAGAAAAAUACAAAAAUUUGGAAAAAAAAAAAGUAGGAAACGUUUUGAAAAAACCCAAAAAGAGUCGUUUUAAAGUUGUUGCUUUUUUUUGUGUUUGUGUCUUAGGGUACCUUCCAACACAAUGAUGAGGAUUUGGUUUUUAAUUGCAUGACUGUUAAAGAAAGCUACAAACAUGGGUGGAAGUUUGAUAUGCUCUUUGGUUAAUGCUUGGUUGUAGUUGUCGUUAACGAAUUCACAUGUAAUCACAAAGGAAAAAAAAUCAAUUUUUGUAACAUGCUUGAAGGAAGGAACUCAAACUAACGCUACAACCCUGAGAGACUUGAGCCUAAGCUUUAUUUGGAGAGUUAUUAAUCUGUGAAUCCUUGUUUUCUAAAUUCGUUGCAUGAUCUCAUUAUUCUUUGCUUGGUUGCUAUUUAGAAUGCGUUUUAUCAUUUUAGUUCCAAAUACUAGAACUCAUGCCAUUUCAUUCAAAGCAUAAAAUUGAGUGCAUAACAUAUAACAAGAUGAAGUUGUUUAGUAGUUACCACCAGAGCCAAAAAAGCCUUCAUC
Molecule: long non-coding RNA, 608 nt
Filed under: Malus domestica (apple)
Lineage: Eukaryota; Viridiplantae; Streptophyta; Magnoliopsida; Rosales; Rosaceae
Description: long non-coding RNA (MDOM_LNC018536)
Source: RNAcentral